UACGUAGGGUGCAAGCGUUAAUCGGAAUUACUGGGCGUAAAGCGUGCACAGGCGAUCUUGUAAGACAGAGGUGAAAUCCCCGGGCUCAACCUGGGAACUGCCUUUGUGACUGCAAGGCUUGAGUACAACAGAAGAGGAUGGAAUUCCGCGUGUAGCAGUGAAAUGCGUAGAUAUGCGAAGGAACACCGAUGACAAAAACAAUCCCCUAGACCUGCACUAACGCUCAUGCACGAAAGCGUGGGGAGCAAACAGG
This 253-nucleotide ribosomal RNA is filed under the name uncultured bacterium. RNAcentral's name for it is "partial 16S ribosomal RNA". It matches the Rfam family "Bacterial small subunit ribosomal RNA", at positions 524 to 776 of the family's 1533-position model. The record is from RNAcentral.